UACAGGGGGUGCAAACGUUGCUCGGAAUCAUUGGGCGUAAAGCGCACGUAGGUGGCCUGUUAAGUCGGGUGUGAAAUCCCUGGGCUCAACCCAGGAAGUGCACUCGAAACUGGCAGGCUUGAGUACUGAAGAGGGUCGCGGAAUUCCCGGUGUAGAGGUGAAAUUCGUAGAUAUCGGGAGGAACACCAGUGGCGAAGGCGGCGACCUGGGCAGAUACUGACACUGAGGUGCGAAAGCGUGGGGAGCAAACAGG
This 253-nucleotide ribosomal RNA is filed under the name uncultured bacterium. RNAcentral's name for it is "partial 16S ribosomal RNA". It matches the Rfam family "Bacterial small subunit ribosomal RNA", at positions 524 to 776 of the family's 1533-position model. The record is from RNAcentral.